UGAAUACGAGAUGCUACGGCGUCGAAGCAGUGUAUGUCAGACUUCCAAGAAAAGCUCGCAAUGUCAUAAAUAAAGAAUGCCUGUACCAUAACCGACACAGGUGGGUAGGUAGAGUAUACUAAGGGGCGCGAGAUAACUCUCUCUAAGGAACUCGGCAAAAUAACUCCGUAACUUCGGGAGAAGGAGUGCCUUCUAUUAGAAGGUUGCAAUAACAAGAUCCAAGCAACUGUUUAUCAAAAACACAGGUCUCCGCUAAGUCGUAAGACGAUGUAUGGGGGCUGACGCCUGCCCAGUGCCAGAAGGUUAAAGAAGUUGGUUAGCUUUGGCGAAGCUGAUGACUGAAGCCCUGGUGAACGGCGGCCGUAACUAUAACGGUCCUAAGGUAGCGAAAUUCCUUGUCGGGUAAGUUCCGACCCGCACGAAAGGCGUAAUGAUUUGGAUACUGUCUCGGAGAGGGACUCGGUGAAAUAGACUUGUCUGUGAAGAUGCGGACUACCUGCACCAGGACAGAAAGACCCUAUGAAGCUUUACUGUAACUUGAAAUUGAAAUUGGACUUUAUUUGCGCAGCAUAGGUGGAAGGCGUUGAGAUUACUCUUGCGGGAGUACUGGAGCCAUCAGUGAGAUACCACUCCUAUAAUGUUAGAUUUCUAACUUUGGAUCAUGAUCUGGUCAAAGAACAGUUUCAGGCGGGCAGUUUGACUGGGGCGGUCGCCUCCCAAAUGGUAACGGAGGCGUACAAAGGUUUCCUCUGAACGGGUAGAAAUCGUAUCUAGAGUGUAAAGGCAUAAGGAAGCUUGACUGUGAGACCUACAGGUCGAGCAGGGACGAAAGUCGGUCUUAGUGAUCUGACGGUGCUGAGUGGAAAGGCCGUCACUCAACGGAUAAAGUUACUCUAGGAUAACAGGCUGAUCUCCCCCAAGAGUUCACAUCGACGGGGAGGUUUGGCACCUCGAUGUCGGCUCAUCGCAUCCUGGGGCGGUAGUACGUCCCAAGGGUUGGGCUGUUCGCCCAUGAAAGCGGUACGCGAGCUGGGUUCAGAACGUCGUGAGACAGUUCGGUCCAUAUCCGGUGUAGGCGUUAGAAUAUUGAGAGGAGCCUUCUUUAGUACGAGAGGACCGAGAAGGACAUACCUCUGGUGUACCAGUUAUCGUGCCAACGGUAAACGCUGGGUAGCUAUGUAUGGAGAGGAUAACCGCUGAAAGCAUCUAAGUGGGAAGCCCACCUCAAGAUGAGUAUUCUCAUC
This 1244-nucleotide ribosomal RNA is filed under the name metagenome. Its description in RNAcentral is "bacterial LSU rRNA". It matches the Rfam family "Bacterial large subunit ribosomal RNA", at positions 1564 to 2818 of the family's 2925-position model. The record is from RNAcentral.